GAUCUAUUUGAGACAUUCUUUGGACCUUCUAUGGGUGGUUUUGGAAUGGAUGGAGCUGGAUUUGGAACGCGUCGCCGCAGUACUGUUACCAAGGGUGAAGAUCUACGUUACGACAUGACAUUAGAAUUUUCAGCGGCUAUCUUUGGAGCUGAAAAAGAUUUCGAGCUUUCACAUCUUGAAACUUGUGAGGUCUGUGUGGGAACUGGGGCAAAGGUAGGCUCCAAAAUGAGGAUAUGUUCAACUUGUGGUGGCCGAGGUCAAGUUAUGAGGACCGAACAAACACCGUUUGGCAUGUUUUCUCAGGUUUCUGUCUGCCCAAACUGUGGUGGGGAUGGUGAAAUGAUCUCUGAAUAUUGUCGUAAAUGCUCAGGCGAGGGGCGGAUACGAGUGAAGAAAGAUAUAAAAGUCAAGAUACCCCCUGGAGUUAACAAGGGAAGUAUCCUCAGAGUUGCUGGUGAGGGUGAUGCAGGUCCUAGGGGUGCCCCACCGGGAGAUCUUUAUGUCUAUCUUGACAUUGAAGAGAUACCUGAGAUCCAAAGAGAUGGCAUAAAUCUGAUUUCAACAGUUUCAGUCGGUUAUCUAGAUGCUAUACUUGGGGCUGUUGUUAAGGUUAAAACAGUGGAUGGUUUGACUGAUCUCCAGAUUCCUCCAGGCACUCAACCUGGGGAUGUGCUUGUCUUGGCAAGGAAAGGAGCACCAAAGCUAAAUAAGCCAUCAAUACGCGGUGAUCACUUGUUCACGAUUAAAGUUAGCAUACCAAAACGCAUCAGUGUGAUGGAGCGUGAAUUGCUUGAAGAACUUGCUUCUCUUACUAAGGGAUCAAGCACUCGUACAAAAACUCGCCCGGCGGUUCAGCAAACGGCAAAAGUUACUGAAACUCCAGUAGGUUCAGAUUCAAGUGCAGCAAAAACUGAUGAGUCAUCAUCAGAAGAUCGAGACGAUCCAUUGAAGAAGUUAGCAAAUUUUGCUGGGUCUGUCGUAAAUGGUGCACUGAAAUGGUUAAGAGACAACCUGUAGUACUUGGUGCUGGGAUACUGCCUCAGCAAUCUUCUUUUAUACGACAAUGGCAUUGAAUUUUAUGUGCUUCAAAACAGCCAUUAUUGCAUCUUGCGGCCUUUCAUUUCUUAGAAUAACUUUUUGGUGAUUCUGCCUGUAAAAUUGAAUCCAGCCACCUUAUUCUUUUAGGAAACCUAAUCCUUCGCCUUUGUAAAUUCUGACAAAUAUAUUCUCCACCUCAAAGAAGUUGGUGAGAUGGAUUCUAACAGCUAUUUUUGUAUAAGAAAUUUUGUAUGUCAGCAAGCAUUUAACA
RNAcentral lists this unclassified non-coding RNA (1309 nucleotides) under Hevea brasiliensis (rubber tree). Lineage: Eukaryota; Viridiplantae; Streptophyta; Magnoliopsida; Malpighiales; Euphorbiaceae. The record is from RNAcentral.